UGAGUACGAGAUGCUACGGCAUCGAAGCAGUCUAUGUCAUACUUCCAAGAAGAGCUUGCACUGUCAGAAACAGAUAAUGCCUGUACCAUAACCGACACAGGUGGGUAGGUAGAGUAUACUAAGGGGCGCGAGAUAACUCUCUCUAAGGAACUCGGCAAAAUGACUCCGUAACUUCGGGAGAAGGAGUGCCUUAUUUUUAAGGUUGCAGUAACAAGAUCCAAGCAACUGUUUACCAAAAACACAGGUCUCCGCUAAGUCGUAAGACGAUGUAUGGGGGCUGACGCCUGCCCAGUGCCAGAAGGUUAAAGAAGUCGGUUAGCAUUCGCGAAGCUGGUAACUGAAGCCCUGGUGAACGGCGGCCGUAACAAUAACGGUCCUAAGGUAGCGAAAUUCCUUGUCGGGUAAGUUCCGACCCGCACGAAAGGCGUAAUGAUUUGGAUACUGUCUCGGAGAGGGGCUCGGUGAAAUAGACUUGUCUGUGAAGAUGCGGACUACCUGCACCUGGACAGAAAGACCCUAUGAAGCUUUACUGUAACUUGAAAUUGAAAUUGGACUUUAUUUGCGCAGUAUAGGUGGGAGGCGUUGAAAAUAUUCUUGCGGGAAUAUUGGAGCCAUCAGUGAGAUACCACUCUUGUAAUGUUAGAUUUCUAACUUUAUAUCAUUAUCUGGUUAAAGAACAGUUUCAGGCGGGCAGUUUGACUGGGGCGGUCGCCUCCCAAAUGGUAACGGAGGCGCACAAAGGUUUCCUCUGAACGGGUAGAAAUCGUAUCUAGAGUGUAAAGGCAUAAGGAAGCUUGACUGUGAGACCUACAAGUCGAGCAGGGACGAAAGUCGGUCUUAGUGAUCUGACGGUGCUGAGUGGAAAGGCCGUCACUCAACGGAUAAAAGUUACUCUAGGAUAACAGGCUGAUCUCCCCCAAGAGUUCACAUCGACGGGGAGGUUUGGCACCUCGAUGUCGGCUCAUCGCAUCCUGGGGCGGUAGUACGUCCCAAGGGUUGGGCUGUUCGCCCAUGAAAGCGGUACGCGAGCUGGGUUCAGAACGUCGUGAGACAGUUCGGUCCAUAUCCGGUGUAGGCGUUAGAAUAUUGAGAGGAGCCUUCUUUAGUACGAGAGGACCGAGAAGGACAUACCUCUGGUGUACCAGUUAUCGUGCCAACGGUAAACGCUGGGUAGCUAUGUAUGGAGUGGAUAACCGCUGAAAGCAUCUAAGUGGGAAGCCCACCUCAAGAUAAGUAUUCUCAUAGAAAAU
Molecule: ribosomal RNA, 1250 nt
Filed under: metagenome
Description: bacterial LSU rRNA
Rfam family: Bacterial large subunit ribosomal RNA
Source: RNAcentral